ACUUUUUAUUGUUCAGUCUGGCAAAAGCAAACUUACUCACAUCUGCCAUUUUGUCCUACUCAAGGAUGGAAAAAAUCGACUAGCGACAAACGACUCAGUAUUUGAACGGUCUAAGAGGGCCGUUGUUCUUGAAGCAGCAUGAUUUCAAUACUUCACUACGCGCGCGUAUCACAAAUAUAUGGUGCAUCCCAUGCACUGUUUGUCGUGGGACAAACAGUUUGUCGAAUGUUUUAACAAGUUGCGAUUAACGUGAAUCGGAACGUAUUCACAACAAUAUUUUUUGCUCAAAUCAUGCCCGAAUGACUAACAGAACAUAUACGGUAUAUCAAGAGACAAAUCGCAGAGUGAAAGCGACAAAAAUCCUCCAAAAAAUUAAACUUCGCUUCACGAACUUUUGAUCGUUAGCGUACAUGCCAAGCGAUCUAUUAUUCGUAGAGCGUAGUUUGUUGUGAUGAGUUGACGACAAAAGGUUUAUCGUUGUUGAUAUGUGUUGGAAUAGAGGUAGUGUCGCACCUCAGGUAGAAGAAUCGUCGGUUGAGAAGCAUGCGUCGUCGUAGAUAAAAGUGUGGAAGAUUUAUCGAGAGGUAUGGUAUUUGGAUAAGUGUGAUUUAAUUGUAAAUAUAUACCUGGAAUGAAUAAAGAGAGUUGCAGCUGCUGAUUGAGGUAUCAGUCAGUUAGCUGCCCAGUUAAAGGAGA
Molecule: long non-coding RNA, 696 nt
Organism: Aedes aegypti (yellow fever mosquito)
Lineage: Eukaryota; Metazoa; Arthropoda; Insecta; Diptera; Culicidae
Exons: 2
Source: RefSeq, a predicted model, not a curated record